RNAcentral lists this ribosomal RNA (465 nucleotides) under uncultured Arsenophonus sp. RNAcentral describes it as "bacterial SSU rRNA". It matches the Rfam family "Bacterial small subunit ribosomal RNA", at positions 338 to 795 of the family's 1533-position model. The record is from RNAcentral. Lineage: Bacteria; Pseudomonadati; Pseudomonadota; Gammaproteobacteria; Enterobacterales; Morganellaceae.
CCUACGGGUGGCAGCAGUGGGGAAUAUUGCACAACGGGCGCAAGCCUGAUGCAGCCAUGCCGCGUGUAUGAAGAAGGCCUUCGGGUUGUAAAGUACUUUCAGUCGUGAGGAAGGUGUUAAGGUUAAUAACCUUAGCAAUUGACGUUAGCGACAGAAGAAGCACCGGCUAACUCCGUGCCAGCAGCCGCGGUAAUACGGAGGGUGCGAGCGUUAAUCGGAAUUACUGGGCGUAAAGGGCACGCAGGCGGUUAAAUAAGUUGGAUGGUAAAGCCCCGGGCUUUACCUUGGAAUUGCAUUCAAGACUGGGUUGCCAGAGGCUUUUAGGGGGGGGUAGAAUUCCAUGUGUAGCGGUGAAAUGCGUAGAGAUGUGGAGGAAUACCGGUGGCGAAGGCGGCCCCCUGGACAAAGACUGACGCUCAUGUGCGAAAGCGUGGGGAGCAAACAGGAUUAGAUACCCGUGUAGUC